UACAGAGGGUGCAAGCGUUAAUCGGAAUUACUGGGCGUAAAGCGUGCGUAGACGGUUAUUUAAGUCAGGCGUGAAAGCCCUGGGCUCAACCUGGGGACGGCGCUUGAGACGGGUGGGCUUGAGGACGGAAGAGGCUCGCGGAAUUCCCAGUGUAGAGGUGAAAUUCGUAGAUAUUGGGAGGAACACCAGUGGCGAAGGCGGCUCACUGGGCCGGAACUGACGCUGAGGCGCGAAAGCGUGGGGAGCAAACAGG
This 253-nucleotide ribosomal RNA is filed under the name uncultured bacterium. RNAcentral describes it as "partial 16S ribosomal RNA". It matches the Rfam family "Bacterial small subunit ribosomal RNA", at positions 524 to 776 of the family's 1533-position model. The record is from RNAcentral.